CCUACGGGAGGCAGCAGUGGGGGAUAUUGCACAAUGGGGGGAACCCUGCUGCAGCGACGCCGCGUGGGUGAAGAAGCGCCUCGGCGCGUACAGCCCUGUCAGCAGGGAAGAAAAUGACGGUACCUGAAGCAGAAGCCCCGGCUAACUACGUGCCAGCAGCCGCGGUAAUACGUAGGGGGCAAGCGUUAUCCGGAUUUACUGGGUGUAAAGGGGGCGCAGACGGCGAUGCAAGCCAGGAGUGAAAGCCCGGGGCCCAACCCCGGGACUGAUCUUGGAACUGCGUGGCUGGAGUGCAGGAGGGGCAGGCGGAAUGCCUGGUGUAGCGGUGAAAUGCGUAGAUAGCAGGAGGAACACCGGUGGCGAAGGCGGCCUGCUGGACUGCAACUGACGUUGAGGCCCGAAAGCGUGGGGAGCAAACAGGAUUAGAUACCCUUGUAGUC
RNAcentral lists this ribosomal RNA (440 nucleotides) under uncultured bacterium. Its description in RNAcentral is "partial 16S ribosomal RNA". It matches the Rfam family "Bacterial small subunit ribosomal RNA", at positions 338 to 795 of the family's 1533-position model. The record is from RNAcentral.